This 248-nucleotide unclassified non-coding RNA is filed under the name Centruroides sculpturatus (bark scorpion). RNAcentral's name for it is "uncharacterized LOC111630203, transcript variant X3". The record is from RNAcentral. Lineage: Eukaryota; Metazoa; Arthropoda; Arachnida; Scorpiones; Buthidae.
AGUAAGUGACGUAUGGUCAAGAUGGUAGUUUGUAUGUUAAAAUCUUCGAUGUGUACAUGGUAUAUUCGUUUAAAUAAACAUUAAUUAUGAAUGGAUUUUUGUUCAACGUAAACUUUUAUUACAAUGGAAGAUAUUGAUGACAGUCAUAAUGAUAACAAAGGUGCUUUUUGGAAGAAAAAUACAAGAAAUGUACCUGGAAGUAUUAAACCAGUGUAUGGAGCUAUGCAUCCUCCUAGACUCGAAUCACA